GUACGAUGAUGACAAACUUAGGACACCUUUGGAGGUUAUGACCAAUGAAACAAACCAGUAUUCUGAGUACG
Myxocyprinus asiaticus (Chinese sucker) is the source of this 71-nucleotide small nucleolar RNA. RefSeq annotates it as small nucleolar RNA SNORD58. The record is from RefSeq and is a predicted model, not a curated record. NCBI's taxonomy places the organism in Eukaryota, Metazoa, Chordata, Actinopteri, Cypriniformes, Catostomidae. The transcript has a single exon.